UACUUACACCCAAACAGAUCUACAAAGAAGAAGUGGAAAAAAAAAUGACUCUCAUGGCCUUCAAAUAAAUAAAAGGAAAAACUUCUAAUACCAUCCCUGUGGUUUUGCACUUUCUCACUUUAGCACCCUGUGAUUUAUAGUGUAUCAAUUUAGUGCCAUGUGAUUUUAUUUUUCUCUAUUUUAUUAUCAAUUUCACUAAUUUUUUUCUUAAAUCAGUGACAAAGUUAAAACUAAAGGGUAUUAAAGUGAAUAUUCGAUAAACCUAGGUGGGGUAUAUGAAGUUUUUUGUAUUUAAUUUAAUAAAAUAUUGACGGAGAAGCUUAUGAAAAGAAAAAAAAAAAUGAAACAUAGCGAACUAAACUGAUACACUUUAAACCACAGGGUACUAAAAUGAGAAAGUGCGAAACCACAGGGUUGGUAUUUGAAGUUUACCCUAAAUAAAAAUAAGAAAUAAGGAAAAAGAAAGCUUUUAAGGCCUAUUUGUUUAACCAAAAGUAUUAAAAAUAAAAAGAUUCUCCUGCCUAAUUAAGAGGCUGCUUUCAUUAUUUAGUUGUACCACAAAUUAAGUUUAGUCUUAAUUAACCCAGCUUUCUCAUGAUGCACUAAUUAACUUCGCUCUUAACCAAUGACAAAAUCGAUUACAAAAGAUGUUUUAACUUUUUCAUCUUUUUAUAUGAUAAUGUGAAAUUUUCUGUAAAUCAAAUAGGAAAGAUGGAAAAACAUGAAGAGCGAUGAGAAAAUAAUAUUUAUAUAAAUUUUAAAUUAAUUAAAACUUACUUUUCCUUUAGUAAUGAAUAUAAAAACUGUAAUAAUUUUUGGAUAAUUUAUGAAUACCCACCUAGCUAGCCCUUACGCAAUGUAAUAUCACAG
RNAcentral lists this long non-coding RNA (870 nucleotides) under Ananas comosus (pineapple). RNAcentral describes it as "long non-coding RNA (ACOM_LNC018255)". Lineage: Eukaryota; Viridiplantae; Streptophyta; Magnoliopsida; Poales; Bromeliaceae. The record is from RNAcentral.